CCAAGCACGCACUCCCGGACAUUUGGAUCGUGAAUAAUAUUCAACUACUCAUCCCAGGAUGAGAUCAAGGCCACCGUAUCACUUAAUUGAAAGAGAGCUGGUACGGCAAAAGUGAAAAAGGACGAGUGCAAAGUAAUCCCAUUAAUUAGAGCCAAGAUUUACUAUAUCUUCCUUCUGACUUAAAAAGAAAGAACCGCAACCAAUUAAAAAGUGUAUCGGAUUAUAGUUGACUCAGCUAAGUUUGCAAUUAUCUCUGGCAGCUAGUCGUUUUAUAAAUAUAGAAGACAAGUUCCCGCUUGGAGAUUUUUACCGCAGCACCGUCCCUGUGUAAAUAAAUAGGUCAUUCGAGGAGCUCACAAUACUACGAAAAUUACUUGCCUCCGUACAGCGAUGAUCUAUUUCACGAUUUUAAGUGGAUUAUCCAGAUUUCAGCAAUUUAUGUUGCGAUACUUAAUAAUAAUGCUGUUAUUUUGAUUGCUUUAUCUGUCGUUACUUCAUCUGCAUUCGUUAUAGGCCAUAAAUGCUUUUUCAAAAAGCUCAAGAUCAAAUGGUUACUUCAACUUACCCGAUCCGUCUACCCGAUAUACCUUGCGUUAUGAUAACCAUUACUGCUCGAUAUACGCAUCGAAGAAUGGCGUUUCUUUGAAUAUUUCCAAGCACCAUACGUUGUCAUAGUGAUCACCAUCUUCUUCUUUUUCUAUCGAGUACUGCGAGUAGUAGUUCCAUAAAG
Long non-coding RNA from Ceratosolen solmsi marchali, 730 nucleotides. RefSeq lists it as uncharacterized. Lineage: Eukaryota; Metazoa; Arthropoda; Insecta; Hymenoptera; Agaonidae. The transcript has 4 exons. The record is from RefSeq and is a predicted model, not a curated record.